UAAAUUCCAAGCUCAGAAAUGGCACCUAUCCCUAUCCCCGAUUCUGCUCGCCCAAAUCGCCCAACUCAUCUGACUUUUCAGACGAGUUCUUCCCCAAACUCAUCACACAUGGUCCCCUCCUCUACAACGUGGCAUAACUGUUCUCUGACAGAAUAUUUUCUGCAUUAUGCCAUUCUCACGCGCUUUUGAUUUCUUGGGAUGAAUCUCGGUUAAAUGGUAGCGGUUGGAUGUGAGAAAUCACAUCCAUGCCUUCCAUUUGUCUGGGUUUUGUUCUAUGUGAGAUUGGGGUUCGUUUUUGCGAAUUUGGGGAUAAAAUUUGGGGAUUUAGGAGAAGAGGGCAGAAGCUUCGAGAGUUGAGUAUAUAUAGUGGGGUUUUCAGAGAUUUGGGAGGAAGAAAAAAAAUUCGGAGAUUUUUCUAAGUGGAUUUUUAGAAUUUGUCAUCCGAAAAGAAUUCUUUGGUUUUUUUUCCUGAUAUUUUAGGUCAUCCUCUUUGAUUUAGUUUUUUUUUUCAGUUUAUUCUUUGAUAUCCAGAAACAGAAAAACACAAAAUAUUAUUACAUGUAUUUGGCUUCUUGAUUUGAUUUUCCAACGAUGGAAUUUGAUUAAGGAUGGUCUGAAUUCGUCGGAGUUGAAGAUUAUUUUUCCGUUUCGAGUUUUGUUAGUGUUUCGUGUUUCUCGUUGCGGUCUCAUCUCUUUAUUUCCAGCAGCUAGGAAAGAAGGAUUUGGUUGUAAACGACACUUCUCAUUGCUGUUGUUAAAAGAAGAAUUACUUAACAGUUGCAAGUUUGAAGUCAGGAGAAGUCUUAAGAGUACCAUUUUGAUUAAAUUGAUGUGUACACGGUUUGAAUGGAAACCUUCUGAAGCAUUUUCAAUUUUGCAUUCCGAGGGGCAUAACAGAAUUCUCAAGCUUCCUGUAUUAAUCACGCUUUGUUCUAGAAUUCCCGUGUUAUAGAAUCUGAGAAUUUCGAAUGUGUUGUGCAUAAUGUUAAGGAUCAUAUUAAAUCCAUGUGGUUACUAUUUGUUCAGAGAUAAGAUAUCAGUUAGUGGUUUUUCCAAUGGCUCAAACUCAUCUUUACUUUUAUUAAUUCUUUUAGUUUUUUUUUGGUCACACGUUCGUUCUCUAAUAAUUUAGUUUGGAUCUUCUGUUUGAUAAUUGGUUUCAUCGAGUAUGAAUUCGUUUGGA
Molecule: long non-coding RNA, 1183 nt
Organism: Nicotiana tabacum (common tobacco)
Lineage: Eukaryota; Viridiplantae; Streptophyta; Magnoliopsida; Solanales; Solanaceae
Source: RefSeq, a predicted model, not a curated record